GAUGAACGCUGGCGGCGUGCCUAAUACAUGCAAGUCGAGCGAACAGAUGAGGAGCUUGCUCCUCUGACGUUAGCGGCGGACGGGUGAGUAACUCGUGGAUAACCUACCUAUAAGACUGGGAUAACUUCGGGAAACCGGAGCUAAUACCGGAUAAUAUAUUGAACCGCAUGGUUCAAUAGUGAAAGACGGUUUUGCUGUCACUUAUAGAUGGAUCCGCGCCGCAUUAGCUAGUUGGUAAGGUAACGGCUUACCAAGGCAACGAUGCGUAGCCGACCUGAGAGGGUGAUCGGCCACACUGGAACUGAGACACGGUCCAGACUCCUACGGGAGGCAGCAGUAGGGAAUCUUCCGCAAUGGGCGAAAGCCUGACGGAGCAACGCCGCGUGAGUGAUGAAGGUCUUCGGAUCGUAAAACUCUGUUAUUAGGGAAGAACAAAUGUGUAAGUAACUAUGCACGUCUUGACGGUACCUAAUCAGAAAGCCACGGCUAACUACGUG
RNAcentral lists this ribosomal RNA (497 nucleotides) under uncultured bacterium. RNAcentral's name for it is "partial 16S ribosomal RNA". It matches the Rfam family "Bacterial small subunit ribosomal RNA", at positions 28 to 507 of the family's 1533-position model. The record is from RNAcentral.